AUACCCAACAGCUAGCCCCCCAAUCAAAAACAACAAACCACUAUUAAUACCCUCAAAUACACAAAUACCUACACUAAACAAACCAUUUUUCCCCCUAAGUACGGACGACAGAAAAGGAAUUCAGGAGCAAUAGAGAAAGUACCGCAAGGGAACGCUGAAAGAGAAAUGAAAUAAAUCAGUAAAGUUUAAAAAAGCAGAGACUUAAACUCGUACCUUUUGCAUCAUGAUUUAGCCAGUAAACUUCAAGCAAAGAGCACUUUAGUUUGCCUCCCCGAAACUAAGUGAGCUACUCCAAGACAGCCUAUAAUUAGGGCUAACCCGUCUCUGUGGCAAAAGAGUGGGAAGAGCUUCGAGUAGAGGUGACAGACCAACCGAACUUAGUUAUAGCUGGUUGCCUGGGAACUGGAUAGAAGUUCAGCCUCUCGGUUUCUCCCUUCAUUCCUGCUUCAGCUUUUUCUGAUCUAAAAGAAACCAAGAGAGUUAGUUAAAGGGGGUACAGCCCCUUUAAACCAAGAUACAACUUUCCUAGUUGGGUAAAGAUCAUAAUCACCCAAGGUAAAAUGGUCUAGUGGGCCUAAAAGCAGCCACCCAGUAGAAAGCGUUAAAGCUCAGACAUUCCCCACAACCUUCAAUCCCGAUAACCUAUCUCAUCCCCCUAAUUUUACCAGGCCACCUCAUGCUUACAUGAGGGCAAUCCUGCUAAUAUGAGUAAUAAGAGAGCAUGCCUCUCUCCCUGCACACGUGUAAAUCGGAACGGAUACCCCACCGAACAUUACCGGUCCCAAACAAAGAGGGCACUGAACAAUAAACUAAACAACUAGAAAACCACCCAACUAUAUACCGUUAACCCCACACUGGCGUGCUUAUAAGGAAAGACUAAAAGGAAAAGAAGGAACUCGGCAAACACAAGCCUCGCCUGUUUACCAAAAACAUCGCCUCUUGCAAAACCAAAGAAUAAGAGGUCCCGCCUGCCCUGUGACAAAUAGUUUAACGGCCGCGGUAUUUUGACCGUGCAAAGGUAGCGCAAUCACUUGUCUUUUAAAUGAAGACCUGUAUGAAUGGCAUAACGAGGGCUUAACUGUCUCCUUUUUCAAGUCAAUGAAAUUGAUCUCCCCGUGCAGAAGCGGGAAUUAAACCAUAAGACGAGAAGACCCUAUGGAGCUUUAGACACCAAAGCAGAUCUUGUUAAACACCCCAAAAUAAAUGAACCAAACCAAAAGAACCCUGCCCUAAUGUCUUUGGUUGGGGCGACCGCGGGGAAACAAACAACCCCCACGUGGACUAAGAACACCCUUCUUACAACCAAGAGCUACAACUCUAACUAACAGAACUUCUGACCAUAAGAUCCGGCAAUGCCGAUCAACGGACCGAGUUACCCUAGGGAUAACAGCGCAAUCCCCUUUUAGAGCCCAUAUCGACAAGGGGGUUUACGACCUCGAUGUUGGAUCAGGACAUCCUAAUGGUGCAGCCGCUAUUAAGGGUUCGUUUGUUCAACGAUUAAAGUCCUACGUGAUCUGAGUUCAGACCGGAGUAAUCCAGGUCAGUUUCUAUCUAUGUUAUGCUCUUUUCUAGUACGAAAGGACCGAAAAGAAGAGGCCCAUGCUUCAAGUAUGCCUCACCCCCACCUAAUGAAAACAACUAAAUUAGGCAAAAGGGCAUGCCCCCUAUGCCUAAGAAAAUGGCAU
Molecule: ribosomal RNA, 1685 nt
Filed under: Osphronemus goramy (giant gourami)
Lineage: Eukaryota; Metazoa; Chordata; Actinopteri; Anabantiformes; Osphronemidae
Description: 16S ribosomal RNA
Rfam family: Bacterial large subunit ribosomal RNA
Source: RNAcentral